RNAcentral lists this ribosomal RNA (253 nucleotides) under uncultured bacterium. RNAcentral describes it as "partial 16S ribosomal RNA". It matches the Rfam family "Bacterial small subunit ribosomal RNA", at positions 524 to 776 of the family's 1533-position model. The record is from RNAcentral.
UACGUAGGGUGCAGGCGUUAAUCGGAAUUACUGGGCGUAAAGCGUGCGCAGGCGUUCUUUUAAGUCAGAUGUGACAUCCCCGGGCUUAACCUGGGAACUGCGUUUGAAACUGGAAGGCUUGAGUGUGGCAGAGGGGGGUGGAAUUCCACGUGUAGCAGUGAAAUGCGUAGAGAUGUGGAGGAACAACGAUGGCGAAGGCAGCCCCCUGGGCUAACACUGACGCUCAUGUACGAAAGCGUGGGUAGCAAACAGG